AUUGAACGCUGGCGGCAUGCCUUACACAUGCAAGUCGAACGGUAACAGGUUAAGCUGACGCGUGGCGAACGGGUGAGUAAUACAUCGGAACGUGCCCAGUAGUGGGGGAUAGCCCGGCGAAAGCCGGAUUAAUACCGCAUACGACCUAAGGGUGAAAGGGGGGGAUCGCAAGACCUCUCGCUAUUGGAGCGGCCGAUGUCAGAUUAGCUAGUUGGUGGGGUAAAAGCUCACCAAGGCGACGAUCUGUAGCUGGUCUGAGAGGACGACCAGCCACACUGGGACGGAAACACGCCCCAGACCCCUCGGGGAGGCAGCAGUGGGGAUUUUUGAACAAGGGCCGCAGGCCUGACCCAGCCAUGCCGCGGGGGGAAAGAAGGCUUGCGGGUUGAAACCCGUUUUUGUGGGGAAAAAAAUCUUUUGGGUUAAUCCCUCGGGGGAAUGAGGGUACCAAAAGAAAAAGCACCGCCUAACUACGU
This 476-nucleotide ribosomal RNA is filed under the name uncultured bacterium. RNAcentral describes it as "partial 16S ribosomal RNA". It matches the Rfam family "Bacterial small subunit ribosomal RNA", at positions 29 to 506 of the family's 1533-position model. The record is from RNAcentral.